GAUGAACGCUGGCGGCGUGCCUAAUACAUGCAAGUCGAGCGAACGGACGAGAAGCUUGCUUUUCUGAUGUUAGCGGCGGACGGGUGAGUAACACGUGGAUAACCUACCUAUAAGACUGGGAUAACUUCGGGAAACCGGAGCUAAUACCGGAUAAUAUUUUGAACCGCAUGGUUCAAAAGUGAAAGACGGUCUUGCUGUCACUUAUAGAUGGAUCCGCGCUGCAUUAGCUAGUUGGUAAGGUAACGGCUUACCAAGGCAACGAUGCAUAGCCGACCUGAGAGGGUGAUCGGCCACACUGGAACUGAGACACGGUCCAGACUCCUACGGGAGGCAGCAGUAGGGAAUCUUCCGCAAUGGGCGAAAGCCUGACGGAGCAACGCCGCGUGAGUGAUGAAGGUCUUCGGAUCGUAAAACUCUGUUAUUAGGGAAGAACAUAUGUGUAAGUAACUGUGCACAUCUCGACGGUACCUAAUCAGAAAGCCACGGCUAACUACGUG
RNAcentral lists this ribosomal RNA (497 nucleotides) under uncultured bacterium. RNAcentral's name for it is "partial 16S ribosomal RNA". It matches the Rfam family "Bacterial small subunit ribosomal RNA", at positions 28 to 507 of the family's 1533-position model. The record is from RNAcentral.